AGAGUUUGAUCGUGGCUCAGGAUGAACGCUAUCGGCGCGCUUAAUGCAUGCAAGUCGAGCGAUGAGGCUCCUUCGGGAGUACAUCAGCGGCAGACGGGUGAGUAACACGUAGGUGACCUGCCCCCGAGACCGGGAUAACGGGUGGAAACACACGCUAAUACCGGAUGACCUCCAGGGAUCACAGCCUGGAGGAAAGCUCCGGCGCUUGGGGAGGGGCCUGCGGCCCAUCAGCUAGUUGGUGCGGUAACGGCGCACCAAGGCGAAGACGGGUAGGGGGUGUGAGAGCAUGACCCCCCACAAUGGGACUGAGACACGGCCCAUACUCCUACGGGAGGCAGCAGCAGGGAAUAUUGCGCAAUGGGCGAAAGCCUGACGCAGCGACGCCGCGUGAAUGAAAGGCCUUCGGGUUGUAAAAUUCUUUUCUGGGGGAAGAGGAAGGACGGUACCCCAGGAAUAAGCGUCGGCUAACUACGUGCCAGCAGCCGCGGUAAUACGUAGGACGCGAGCGUUAUCCGGAUUUAUUGGGCGUAAAGCGUCUGUAGGCGGCUGAGUAAGUUGGGCGUGAAAGCUCCGGGCUUAACCCGGAGAGGCCGUUCAAUACUGCUCGGCUAGAGGGGGUCAGAGGGGCGUGGAAUUUCCGGUGUAGCGGUAAAAUGCGCAGAUAUCGGAAGGAACACCAGUGGCGAAGGCGGCGCCCUGGGGCCGCCCUGACGCUGAGAGACGAAAGCUAGGGGAGCGAACAGGAUUAGAGACCCUGGUAGUCCUAGCCCUAAACGAUGGAUGCUAGGUGUGGGGCCGAGAAGGCUCUGUGCCGCAGCAAACGCGAUAAGCAUCCCGCCUGAGGACUACGGCCGCAAGGUUAAAACUCAAACGAAUUGACGGGGACCCGCACAAGCAGCGGAGCGUGUGGUUUAAUUCGAUUCUACACGAAGAACCUUACCUGGGUUUGACAUCACUGUGGUAGUGAAGCGAAAGCUAAGCGACCCUUCGGGGAGCAGUGACAGGUGCUGCAUGGCUGUCGUCAGCUCGUGCCGUGAGGUGUCGGGUUAAGUCCCGUAACGAGCGCAACCCUUGCCCUUAGUUAUACGUGUCUAAGGGGACUGCCGGCGGGAAGCCGGAGGAAGGUGGGGAUGACGUCAAGUCAGCAUGGCCCUUAUGUCCAGGGCUACACACACGCUACAGUGGGCGGUACAAUGGGCAGCCAAGCCGUGAGGCGGAGCGAAUCCCAUCAAAGCCGUUCGUAGUUCGGAUAGCAGGCUGCAACUCGCCUGCUUGAAGCUGGAGUUGCUAGUAACCGCGCGUCAGCUAUAGUGCGGUGAAUACGUUCCCGGGUCUUGUACACACCGCCCGUCACGUCAUGGGAGUCGGUAACGCCUGAAGCCGGUAGCUGAACCUUAACAGGGGGGCGCCGUCGAAGGCGGGACUGGCGACUGGGGC
Molecule: ribosomal RNA, 1437 nt
Filed under: metagenome
Description: bacterial SSU rRNA
Rfam family: Bacterial small subunit ribosomal RNA
Source: RNAcentral